Molecule: ribosomal RNA, 599 nt
Filed under: Paenibacillus koleovorans
Lineage: Bacteria; Bacillati; Bacillota; Bacilli; Caryophanales; Paenibacillaceae
Description: bacterial SSU rRNA
Rfam family: Bacterial small subunit ribosomal RNA
Source: RNAcentral
GGGACCCGCACAAGCAGUGGAGUAUGUGGUUUAAUUCGAAGCAACGCGAAGAACCUUACCAGGUCUUGACAUCCUCCUGAAUACGUUUGAGAUAGCGUAUGCCCUUCGGGGACAGGGGAGACAGGUGGUGCAUGGUUGUCGUCAGCUCGUGUCGUGAGAUGUUGGGUUAAGUCCCGCAACGAGCGCAACCCUUGAUCUUAGUUGCCAGCACUUUGGGUGGGCACUCUAGGAUGACUGCCGGUGACAAACCGGAGGAAGGCGGGGAUGACGUCAAAUCAUCAUGCCCCUUAUGACCUGGGCUACACACGUACUACAAUGGCCGGUACAACGGGCCGCGAAGCCGCGAGGCGGAGCCAAUCCCAAAAAGCCGGUCUCAGUUCGGAUUGCAGGCUGCAACUCGCCUGCAUGAAGUCGGGAUUGCUAGUAAUCGCGGAUCAGCAUGCCGCGGUGAAUACGUUCCCGGGUCUUGUACACACCGCCCGUCACACCACGAGAGUUUACNACACCCGAAGUCGGUGAGGUAACCCGCAAGGGGGCUANCCGCCGAAGGUGGGUAGAUGNUUGGGGUGAAGUCGUAACAAGGUAGCCGUAUCGGAAGG